Lolium perenne is the source of this 751-nucleotide long non-coding RNA. RefSeq lists it as uncharacterized. NCBI's taxonomy places the organism in Eukaryota, Viridiplantae, Streptophyta, Magnoliopsida, Poales, Poaceae. The record is from RefSeq and is a predicted model, not a curated record.
AGCCAACCCUAACAGCCGCAAGCUGACCGCCAACCACCCUCCCUCGUCGUCGACGACCGCCCGCGGCCACGUCCGCGCCAUCUUCCCCGCCCGCGCUCAGAGCAAAUGGAUUCUUAUUGGCAGUGGUGCGCAGACUAUGGAUAGUAUAGGUGCAAGGAUAAAAAGUUUUAUAUUCUUUUCGAGGAGGAUUAUAAAACUAUGUCGGGUAUCCUGUGCAGUGUAAGGCGUGACUUCAUGAAGCACAUAUAUAGAAACAUUAACCAUUUGGGAAUAUUUGAAGUUGUCAUCCAGCAGAACACACUAUCCACACCGGACAUGAUCUUGUUGUUGAAGUCACCAAUGAGGCGAAUCGAACAAAUUUCCACGGGCGUAGUUGGAAGGAGAUGAUAGAAUGCUACGGGAUGGAGCCAGGGACUAAGUUAUAUUUCUACUUGAAUGGCUUAUGCAGGGAGACCUUCUUCCACUACAAAUAGCGGAAGGACGCCUCCUCAUCUGAUAAUGAUUUCCGCCAUCCAAGGGAUUCCGACGGGGUUGUUGUUUAUUACCCACCCAUGGAGCCGGAGCCGGGUCGGGGGAGUGAUUUGGUCACUUGGCUAUUGUGCUCAUUGUAUAUAAUGACUUGGUCGCUAGCUUGGUAGGCUUUAGCUAGUGUAAUGAUUGGAUUACUAUAUUAUGCUCAAUGCAUGUAAUGACUUGACCACUUGCGAUGACUCUCUAGUGUUAUUAAUGAUUUGAUCACUUGGCUAUUAUA